This 2983-nucleotide long non-coding RNA is filed under the name Oncorhynchus kisutch (coho salmon). RNAcentral describes it as "lncRNA (ENSOKIG00005047352.1)". Lineage: Eukaryota; Metazoa; Chordata; Actinopteri; Salmoniformes; Salmonidae. The record is from RNAcentral.
GAAAAGAGGAAGGGGAUGUAGUGGGUAGAAGUGUCAAAGAAUUUAACUGUCAAAGGCAAACUUGCAUCAAUAAUUCUGCAAAGUUGCCUUGCACGCCUGCAGCACGAAUCCACUGGGUGGGCUCUCCCAUUAAGUGCGUUUAGACGAAUCAAGAUCGUGCUGUUCCAGCGAAGCGUAGCAGUGUGCUCCACGGAUGAGACCUCGCUGAAGACGAAGCUUUCCUUUUACUCAAUCUUACUGUUAGUGUAUUGAAUUUUCUAACAGCCUGCCGAUUUCUGAACCCCAUUAACCCAAUGAUGGAGUUAUCCUUGAUGUCAGCGCAGCAUUUUCCGGCCGUGAGUGGGGCCUUCAUGGAUUCCCCGUACAAUGGCAACACGUCCCUCCAGACCUCCACCUCCAACCUCAACGCCAACUUCUCCCGGCCGACAGAGGCGGAAGAGGAGGGCAAGUACUCCAGCGACGCCAUCUGGCUUUGGGUGGCCGUCAUUGCAACCAUCGGCAACAUAGUAGUGGUAGCAGUGGUUUGCGCCUGUGCCUUCUAAGACUCGUUAGUUACAAGCACACAGCCGAACCUCCCUCUUGCCACUUUUUCCCCCUCCACUUUGACCUAUCCCCUGUAUUCGUUUUCAUCUGGUAUGUGUCCAUCCGUAAUAUUAAAGCCAAGGCCAAGUUCUGAGGGUCGCCGGAAUAUGAUCGUGAAAAUAUAGGGAUUGAUUUAACUGAUGUUCUGUAGGACUAUGAAUGCGUUUGUAAGUCUAGGAAUGAGAGCGAGAGAGACAAUCCUCUGGAGUUACCAUACCGUAUCUUACCUAAAGCCUAUGUCUCCCAACGUGUUUUUUUAUUUAUUUUAAUGAUAAAUGGGGAAGUGAGCUGAUGUGGGCUGUGCCUUUGUAUAAUGAACAUUUUGUAAAUGAGUUAUGGAAAUGGACAUUGUAUAAAGCAGCCUCCGUUCUGCUUUCCAAUCGGAGGGAUCAACAGAGGUCAGCCUAAAGGAAGGGAAGUGGAAGUUGUAGGGAAGUGGGAAGUGCACAGGGAACGUGUACAGCUGUGAGAUCCCCUCUGCCUAUGAACCUGAACAGAACACCACCCCAUAUAUCUUUGUCUGGUUGAUGUCAUGUGCCUGUUUGUCUGAAAUGAAUGUGUUGAUGCUGCUGCCUUGGUCCAGGUCUCUCUUGAAAAUUAAAAAUUUUUUGUAUCUCAAUGAGACCAACCUGGUUAAAUAAGGGUGAUAUAAAUAAACACGGAAUCAGCAGUUCCCGUUGUGGUUGGCCACUGUCUCGGAGACCAGUGGAGAGAUAUGUGACAGAUGGUGGCUGGUAGGAGCGCUGAGGGGACAGCGGAGGGGCCCAGGGCAGACUUGGCAGUACCCCUCAGUACUCUGUGUUCUUUCCUGUGACUGCUGCACCACUGCACUACCAUUCACCAUUACUGCUCUGUCCUGUCCUCAUCGGCCUCUGUGAUAGAAAUCUCCCUAAGCACUUUAUAAAAACCCAAUAAACUGGGGCGUUUUCUUCCGUUUUAACUGCAGUGUUCUGGGCUCACCUGUUGCAUCUCUGCAGUGGCUGUAGACCUGUGCCAGUUGAACUAUGCAGUGAUGGCAUCCCACUGGGCACACACUGGUUGAAUAUAGAACGUCAUUUCAAUGAAAUGUUCCCCGUUGGAUAGCUGUGGAUAAUGUUUAGAAGUGAGACCGAUGUAUACAAACACAGUAUCACCCACAAGCCAAAAUAAGGGAAUUAAGUUGUCAGCACACAUCUUAUGUUAUACCACCCCUGCUGACAUUAUCUGCAAUUACGGAGCCACCAAUUACAUCGCACUAAAUCAUGGAGCCGCCCACCAUAACCAGACUAUCCCAAAUGACCCGACCGCCGCUACGAAGGCCCCACGCUGUUGAGCUAGCAAUGAAAUGAUUUUGCUCCUGUCAUAAGAAACCCCAUUGCUGUUAACGUUAGUUUUUUGUUGUUGUUGUGCCAGGCAGGCAGAAUCUCACAUUCACCUCAGAUUGUCUCUCAGUAGACUAGUGUGUGUAGGUGGCAGCCUCCCCAGUAGUUCUGUGCUGUGCUGUCUCCCAUGCACCCAGUGGAGUGGGGCCACAGACUUGUCAAGCGGCAGGGCUGUAAUGAGACGUAAUGCCUCUCUCUCUCUCUCUAUAUCUCUUUCCUAAAGCGAACAGUGACCUCUCAGUUGCGCUGCGGUGAUCAGAGCAGAUCUGAUCCCUGCUGCACUCGGCUGCGCUGAACAAAGAUAGUGCUUCAAAGUGCAUUUUUAGACUGGGACUUCCUCAUUUAAUCAGCACUCGUUGUGAUUGAAAGGGAGAGGAGGAGGAGAGAGGAGUGACCGCAUGGGAUUGGAUUUGUAACAGCCAACUUCCAUGUCAUCGCUUUGAAUUACAGGACUUUUUUUGAAGUACAAUGGAAAAUAUAUAUUUUUUUAUUGAAACCAACGAAGUGGAAUAAAAGGUUUUAAGAUGGAGAGAUUUAGGAUCAAAAGUCAGGCUGAGACAUCACUCCACACAGCUAAUUGCCCUGAUCUCACUGUACAGUAGAGUUAAUGAAAACAAGAGACAGAUUCAUCAUGGCGUCUCUGAGCGGUCCUUUUCAGGUUCCUUAGAGAGCUUAGUCUGAAGAAACCUGAGGGAACAGUAAUGCAUUGUCUCUUAACAAUAAACAACAACAAACCAAAAAAACGCUAGUGUCUCUAUGGCACUGUAUGGGGCGUCAUAAGUAUCUGCUGGCAAUAACUCAAGAUGACGCUAACAAGUUAGUAUUAUACAUCCCCACUAUAUGUAGUUACUUUAAUACAGUAACUAUUCUGAAACAACAUGCAUAUGAACUAGGUGAAGAAUCCCAGUUAGCUAUAAUAUGAAUUUCUUCUACCCUUGUGUCGGCUGUGUGCUUUGACAUGGGACUGGUUAAGGCUCCGGUGCCCACUGUCUACGGCUCAAAUUAUGUGCCUGAGCUGACUAACACAACACCUACCCGUC